UGGGGAAUAUUGGGCAAUGGACGCAAGUCUGACCCAGCAACGCCGCGUGAAGGAAGAAGGCUUUCGGGUUGUAAACUUCUUUUAAGGGGGAACAGUAGAAGAGGGUACCCCUUGAAUAAGCCACGGCUAACUACGUGCCAGCAGCCGCGGUAAUACGUAGGUGGCAAGCGUUGUCCGGAUUUACUGGGUGUAAAGGGCGUGUAGGCGGAGGAGCAAGUCAGAUGUGAAAUCCCGGGGCUUAACCCGGAACUGCAUUUGAAACUGUUUCCCUUGAGUAUCGGAGAGGCAAGCGGAAUUCCUAGUGUAGCGGUGAAAUGCGUAGAUAUUAGGAGGAACACCAGUGGCGAAGGCGGCUUGCUGGACGACAACUGACGCUGAGGCGCGAAAGCGUGGGGAGCAAACAGGAUUAGA
Molecule: ribosomal RNA, 411 nt
Filed under: uncultured Oscillibacter sp.
Lineage: Bacteria; Bacillati; Bacillota; Clostridia; Eubacteriales; Oscillospiraceae
Description: bacterial SSU rRNA
Rfam family: Bacterial small subunit ribosomal RNA
Source: RNAcentral